CUACGGGUGGCUCCAGUGAGGAAUUUUGCGCAAUGGGGGUAACCCUGACGCAGCAACGCCGCGUGAGUGAUGAAGGCUUUCGGGUCGUAAAGCUCUGUCACGUGGGAAGAAUAUACGAAAUGCUAAUACCAUUUUGUACUGACGGUACCACUGAAGGAAGCACCGGCUAACUCCGUGCCAGCAGCCGCGGUAAUACGGGGGGUGCAAGCGUUAUUCGGAAUUAUUGGGCGUAAAGAGCACGUAGGCGGCCGCUUAAGUCAGAUGUGAAAGCCCGGGGCUCAACCCCGGAAAUGCAUUUGAACUAAGUGGCUUGAGUAUGGGAGAGGGAAGUGGAAUUCCUGGUGUAGAGGUGAAAUUCGUAGAUAUCAGGAGGAACACCGGUGGCGAAGGCGACUUCCUGGACCAAUACUGACGCUGAGGUGCGAAGGCGUGGGGAGCAAACAGGAUUAGAUACCCCCGUAGUC
Molecule: ribosomal RNA, 464 nt
Filed under: uncultured bacterium
Lineage: Bacteria
Description: partial 16S ribosomal RNA
Rfam family: Bacterial small subunit ribosomal RNA
Source: RNAcentral